Molecule: ribosomal RNA, 253 nt
Filed under: uncultured bacterium
Lineage: Bacteria
Description: partial 16S ribosomal RNA
Rfam family: Bacterial small subunit ribosomal RNA
Source: RNAcentral
UACGAAAGGGGCUAGCGUUGUUCGGAAUUACUGGGCGUAAAGCGCACGUAGGCGGCCUUGUAAGAUGGGGGUGAAAUCCCUGGGCUCAACCCAGGAACUGCCUUCAUGACUGCAAAGCUUGAGGAUUUGAGAGGUUGGCGGAAUUCCGAGUGUAGAGGUGAAAUUCGUAGAUAUUCGGAAGAACACCGGUGGCGAAGGCGGCCAACUGGCACAUUUCUGACGCUGAGGUGCGAAAGCGUGGGGAGCAAACAGC